GACGAACGCUGGCGGCGUGCUUAACACAUGCAAGUCGAGCGGUAAGGCCCUUUCGGGGGUACGACGAGCGGCGAACGGGUGAGUAACACGUGGGUGACCUGCCCUCAGCUCCGGGAUAAGCCGUGGGAAACCGGGUCUAAUACUGGAUAUGACUCCAUGACGCAUGGUUGUGGGGUGGAAAGCCUUGUGCGGCUGAGGAUGGGCCCGCGGCCUAUCAGCUUGGUUGGUGGGGUGAUGGCCUACCAAGGCGACGACGGGUAGCCGGCCUGAGAGGGCGACCGGCCACACUGGGACUGAGACACGGCCCAGACUCCUACGGGAGGCAGCAGUGGGGAAUCUUGCGCAAUGGGCGAAAGCCUGACGCAGCGACGCCGCGUGAGGGAUGAC
RNAcentral lists this ribosomal RNA (387 nucleotides) under uncultured bacterium. Its description in RNAcentral is "bacterial SSU rRNA". It matches the Rfam family "Bacterial small subunit ribosomal RNA", at positions 28 to 412 of the family's 1533-position model. The record is from RNAcentral.